This 548-nucleotide ribosomal RNA is filed under the name uncultured freshwater bacterium. Its description in RNAcentral is "bacterial SSU rRNA". It matches the Rfam family "Bacterial small subunit ribosomal RNA", at positions 8 to 569 of the family's 1533-position model. The record is from RNAcentral.
AGAGUUUGAUCCUGGCUCAGGAUGAACGCUAGCGGCGGGCUUAAUACAUGCAAGUCAAGGGGUAGCAAUACACCGGCGUACGGGUGCGUAACGCGUAUGGAACCUGCCCUUAUCUGGGGGAUAACUCGGGGAAACUCGAGCUAAUACCGCAUAAGAUAGUAGAAUGGCAUCAUUCAGCUAUUAAAGAUUUAUUGGAUAAGGAUGGCCAUGCGUAAGAUUAGAUAGUUGGCGAGGUAACGGCUCACCAAGUCUACGAUCUUUAGGGGCUCUGAGAGGAGAAUCCCCCACACUGGCACUGAGAUACGGGCCAGACUCCUACGGGAGGCAGCAGUAGGGAAUAUUGGGCAAUGGGCGGAAGCCUGACCCAGCCACGCCGCGUGCAGGAAGACGGCCCUCUGGGUUGUAAACUGCUUUUAACUGGGAAGAAAAGAGGCCUUGCGAGGCAAGUUGACGGUACCAGGUGAAUAAGCCACGGCUAACUACGUGCCAGCAGGCGUGGUAAUACGUAUGUGGCGAGCGUUAUACGGAUUUAUUGGGUUUAAAGGGAG